GGGGGGGGGGGGGGGGGGGCGGGGGGGGGGGGGGGCGGGCGGAGGGGCCCGGGUUGGGUGGGGGGCUGGAGUGGCGACCGGGGGAGUAACACGUGGGUAACCUGCCCUUGACGUUGGGAUAACUUCAGGAAGCUGGGGCUACUACCGGAUAGGAGCUCCUGCUGCAUGGUGGGGGUUGGAAAGUGUCGGCGGUUGGGUAUGGACUCGCGGCUUAUCAGCUUGUUGGUGGGGUAGUGGCUUACCACGGCUUUGACGGGUAGCCGGCCUGAGCGGGUGACCGGCCACAUUGGGACUGAGAUACGGCCCAGACUCCUACGGGAGGCAGCAGUGGGGAAUAUUGCACAAUGGGCGGAAGCCUGAUGCAGCAACGCCGCGUGCGGGAUGACGGCCUUCGGGUUGUAAACCGCUUUCGCCUGUGACGAAGCGUGAGUGACGGUAAUGGGUAAAGAAGCACCGGCUAACUACGUG
This 468-nucleotide ribosomal RNA is filed under the name uncultured bacterium. RNAcentral describes it as "partial 16S ribosomal RNA". It matches the Rfam family "Bacterial small subunit ribosomal RNA", at positions 35 to 507 of the family's 1533-position model. The record is from RNAcentral.